RNAcentral lists this long non-coding RNA (2143 nucleotides) under Homo sapiens (human). Its description in RNAcentral is "non-protein coding lnc-NPTX1-3:1". Lineage: Eukaryota; Metazoa; Chordata; Mammalia; Primates; Hominidae. The record is from RNAcentral.
AGAUGCAAAGUACUUUCUGCACUUCUCACGCCUGAUUUUGGCUCAUCCAUGAAUGCCUUCAGGGGGCCGUGGAGCUAAGAACAGCUGCUUGGAAAGAAGCCACGGGCCUUGCAGCUCGGUGGAGUGAGGUGGGAGUCUGGGCAGCGGGACACGGGCGCAAGAAGUCAAAGCCAGAGGGUGUCUUGGAAGUCAUUAACUUCAGCAGCCUCUCAGGUGCCUGAAACUGUUCUCGGCUUGCACACUUCUGGUGAUGUGGAGCUCAUUACCCCAGAGAGGUAGUCUGUCCUAUUUUCAGACGGCUCUGACUAUCGGCAAGUUUUCUUUUGCGCUCCCGUCUCUUCUUUUUCUGUCAUUUCAUGCUUGGUUCCUUGCAUUGAGCUACAGCUCCUGCCCAUCUGUCCCAACACAGGAAGACGGGGGUCCCUCAGUCUUCACCAGCUCUGCCCCCAUGCAGCAGCCUCCUCAAAUUGCACUGGGCCAGGGGCAGCCUGCCUGCAUGGCGGGUACUUCUGUCUCUGUCGCUAUGGACAGAGAUGCUACGUCCAAGACCUGCAGGAUGUCUGGGCCUGGAGAACCUUGAGGGUCGUCUAGUCUGUCUCCCCGACUGUUCAGAUGAGGGGACCGAGGCCCAGAGGGGCUGUGUGGCUCAUUCAGAGUUGCACAGCUUGACAUCCAGAAAUCAGAAUCCAGGAUUCCUGACUCCCAGCUCAGUGUUCUCGCCUGGCCUGGCUAAACAGCAGGGUCCUGACCUGUGCUGUGGGGCUGGCAGUACUCUCUCUCAGGGCCGUGAAGAUGGGAUGAGGAGCUAUAUGCACAGGGCCUGGUGCGAGCAGGUACAAUUGGGGGCAGACCCCACUACCUUCUGCCAUGCCAGGAUACCCUCCUCCAGGUUCCUCUCCUGAAGGCCGGACGCCGCCCCCACUGCCCACAGGCCCCUCCCCAUGCACCAGUCCCUCCUGGGAUGCCAAAGAACCAAGGGGAGCUGGGAAAUGUUGCCUUCAGGUUGGGCCAUGGGGCACCCCAGCUGCAGCCCUCGGACUCCAGUGCCUCCCAUGUCAUCCAUACCAGGAAGCUCCGGAUGUCUGGAGGUCCCCUUCUCAGCUCCUGAAGGCUGCGUCCCCCGCCCCCACGCAGGACUGCAGGCCACCUGUCCUUGGAUCUCUCCCUCCCCACCCACUGAGCUGCUCCAGGACUUGUCAAAUCCCCCACCCAGGUCCCAUAAGCAGCAGCAGGGGAAGCUGGACCAAGCCCUGGAAGGUCUGGGGAUGUGGCUUAAAGUGGCCCCCUGCAAAUGCAAGGCCUCUGGAAGCCCUACAUUUAUCCUGGGAAAGGGCAUCCGGCUCCAGGUCCCCCAGCUGCCCUCUUCCUGUCUUUGGUGCUCCAGGAAGCCGGGCAUGUGUACGGCCUUGAGCCCAGCUGUGGGCUCCUGGAGCAGGGGCAUCCCAGUUGAGGGAGUCCUGCUUUCUCCCUGUGCCCAUUCCCUACGAGGUAGCCGGGGGUGGGCUCAUCCCCAGCAGCACCCUCUCGCUGGCACACGAGCUCCUUCAGCUCGAGGAGCUGGCUGCUCACACACCCACACUCACGCACAGCUAAGUCCCUGUGGCCUCGGCUUGUGGAGACGUCUGCCCCGUGGCCUGAACAUCCUUCCUCUCCCAGAUGCUCAAGGCCUGGCCUGGGGUGCUUCCUGGAAAUGCCACAGACUCCCUCUGCACUCACUGGUCACACAUUUCCCUCCUACUGGAUUUUUAAAUAAAUGUUUCCAACAGUUUGACCCUUAAAACCUGGAAAUCGGCUGGGCAUGGAAGCACAUGCCUAUAAUCCCAGCACUUUGGGAGGCCGAGGUUGGAGGAUCACUUGAGUCCAGGAGUCCGAGACCAGCCUGGGCAACAUAGUGAGACCCCCAUCUCUACAGAAAGUUUCAAAAAGCUGGGAGUGGUGGCCCGUGCCUGUAGUCCCACCUACUGUGGAGGCUGAGGUGAGAGGAUACCUUGAGCCAGGGAGGUGGAGGCUACAGUGAGCCAUGAUCCUACCACUGCACUUCAGCCUAGGUGACAUAGCAAGACCCUGUGUCAAAAAAAAAGUACCCCCACAUUGGUUUGUUAUGGGUUGAACUGUUUCCCCCAGAAAUACAGCUCCAAGUCCU